RNAcentral lists this ribosomal RNA (498 nucleotides) under Morganella morganii. Its description in RNAcentral is "bacterial SSU rRNA". It matches the Rfam family "Bacterial small subunit ribosomal RNA", at positions 38 to 520 of the family's 1533-position model. The record is from RNAcentral. Lineage: Bacteria; Pseudomonadati; Pseudomonadota; Gammaproteobacteria; Enterobacterales; Morganellaceae.
AGGGAAGGGGCGGCAAGCUACACAUGCAAGUCGGGCGGUAACAGGGAGAAGCUUGCUUCUCUGCUGACGAGCGGCGGACGGGUGAGUAAUGUAUGGGGAUCUGCCUGAUGGAGGGGGAUAACUACUGGAAACGGUAGCUAAUACCGCAUAAUGUCUCCGGACCAAAGCGGGGGACCUUCGGGCCUCGCACCAUCAGAUGAACCCAUAUGGGAUUAGCUAGUAGGUGAGGUAACGGCUCACCUAGGCGACGAUCCCUAGCUGGUCUGAGAGGAUGAUCAGCCACACUGGGACUGAGACACGGCCCAGACUCCUACGGGAGGCAGCAGUGGGGAAUAUUGCACAAUGGGCGCAAGCCUGAUGCAGCCAUGCCGCGUGUAUGAAGAAGGCCUUCGGGUUGUAAAGUACUUUCAGUCGGGAGGAAGGUGUUGAGGUUAAUACCCUUAUCAAUUGACGUUACCGACAGAAGAAGCACCGGCUAACUCCGUGCAGCAGCCGCUA